GGGUCAGUAGGUUGGUCGUGCCACCGGUACGUACUGGUCUCACUGAUUCCUCCUUCCUGAAGAGCCGUAAUGCCAUUAAUUUGGUGUUGCGGGGAAACAGGACUGUUACUUUGAAAAAAUUAGAGUGUUUAAAGCAAGCUAACGCUUGAAUGCAUUAGCAUGGAAUAAUGAAAUAGGACGAUCGAUCCUAUUUUGUUGGUUUCUAGGAUUGACGUA
This 216-nucleotide ribosomal RNA is filed under the name Glomeromycotina sp. Its description in RNAcentral is "partial small subunit ribosomal RNA". The stretch from base 40 to 216 matches the Rfam family "Eukaryotic small subunit ribosomal RNA", at positions 686 to 864 of the family's 1831-position model. Lineage: Eukaryota; Fungi; Glomeromycota. The record is from RNAcentral.